ACGAACGCUGGCGGCAGGCCUAACACAUGCAAGUCGAACGAACCUUCGGGUGAGUGGCGCACGGGUGCGUAACGCGUGGGAAUGUACACCUUGGUAAGGAAUAACUGCUGGAAACGGUAGCUAAUACCUUAUAAUGACUCCGGUCCAAAGAUUUAUCGCCAAGGGAUCAGCCCGCGUCAGAUUAGAUAGUUGGUGAGGUAAAAGCUCACCAAGUCGACGAUCUGGUAGGGGGUCUGAGAGGAUGAUCCCCCACACUGGUACUGAGACACGGACCAGACUCCUACGGGAGGCAGCAGUGAGGAAUAUUGGACAAUGGGGACAACCCUGAUCCAGCCAUGCCGCGUGAGUGAAGAA
RNAcentral lists this ribosomal RNA (354 nucleotides) under uncultured Alphaproteobacteria bacterium. RNAcentral's name for it is "bacterial SSU rRNA". It matches the Rfam family "Bacterial small subunit ribosomal RNA", at positions 29 to 412 of the family's 1533-position model. Lineage: Bacteria; Pseudomonadati; Pseudomonadota; Alphaproteobacteria. The record is from RNAcentral.